GCUGUGGAUAAUUUGGAUUGUUGUCGGAUUGGGACGAAGUAAGGAAAAUAGGGGAGGUGCUGCCGAAUUUUCGUUAGAUUAUUAGCUAGCUUACAAGAAAGUAAAGCACGAUGUUUAUCUAAUUGCGGCACGAUUGUUGCUUGUUAUAGAUUAAUAGCUUGAGCAGUAAAUAUUGGACGUGCGGCUCAAUUAUACGGUAUGUAACGCUGUCCCUUCUUUCUUUGCUUGGCAUGACUUUUAAAAAUAAGCGAAUAACGGGCAGAUUUGAUACUUACCUCUAAAGCGUCUAGGUGAUGUAUAUUCUUACUUCCACAAUUAUUCCUCUAUAUAUCGGUUAUGUCUAAGGCUAUGAUGAUCUCUAAUAUCUAUGGUAAUGCUUCUUAGAGUCAUUGAAAUUUUACGUUUUCAUAUCGUAUUAAAGGUUCAUAAUCUUGAUAAAACAUUAAUCUUUGGUAAUACUCCUUGCUGGUUCACGUUGAUUGUUCUAUUGAGUUAUAAGAAAUGAUUUUAAUUGCAUAUGGUUGCUCAUAAUAUUCUGCUCGUGCAUAGAGUCAUUUAUCAUUUCACCGAGUCCCGGGCCGGGUAAUGUUCGUGCGGAGUUUCUUGCAUAUGUCACCGACUUC
This 623-nucleotide long non-coding RNA is filed under the name Solanum lycopersicum (tomato). Its description in RNAcentral is "partial TCONS_00012688". The record is from RNAcentral. Lineage: Eukaryota; Viridiplantae; Streptophyta; Magnoliopsida; Solanales; Solanaceae.